This 651-nucleotide long non-coding RNA is filed under the name Rattus norvegicus (Norway rat). RNAcentral's name for it is "long non-coding RNA NONRATT020748". Lineage: Eukaryota; Metazoa; Chordata; Mammalia; Rodentia; Muridae. The record is from RNAcentral.
ACGUAGUUUUAAUUUUUUUUUAUCUUAAAGGUAUUAGUAACCCCAAACAGAGGAUUUUUAUAUCCAUUUACUACUGUUCACAAAAAUCCAGGCAAGUUGCAGUCCCAGAGAGGAUGAAUGGUCUUUGCCCUCAUUGGGUAAAGUUGCUGCAGAUUUUGCCUGCAAGAUGGGGCCAACCAAGCAAUAAAGAGGCUGUGUUGUGCGACAGAUUAAAUCCAAGCGUAAGCAUUCCAGCGCUCAGCCAAGCCACGCUUCCGUUCCCUAGCCUGUCAGCCUCCCUCAAAGCGCUCACAAUCCACUGUUCUUCCUCCCCAAAGCCAGUCAACACAGAAUCAGGUUUUCCUAGCUAUGCCUUGCAAACUGGGGCUGUCUGGUGGAAAAGUGCAAUAAAAUCAGAAGGAAGAAGGCAAAUUCACUAAGACAUGCUCUGACAGCAAGCAAUGAUGGGAAAUCCUAGCUUCCGAAAUGGCCACCCCAAUGAAAUGAAAUGCAAUUAAACAGAAAUCAUCCUCUCAGCCUCAAAGUCGCUAUCCACAAACCCUGUGUUGCAAAGCUACAGACCCUUUCCUAGUGCCAGAUAGAACCUCCAACCUAAUGGGUGUGGGGGAUAACUCCCAAGUGCCCCAGGCCCAACUGAAAAAAAAAAAAAAA